GGACUACCAGGGUUUCUAAUCCUGUUUGCUCCCCACGCUUUCGUGCAUCAGCGUCAGUUAUAGCCCAGAUGAUCGCCUUCGCCACCGGUGUUCCUCCUAAUAUCUAAGAAUUUCACCUCUACACUAGGAAUUCCAUCAUCCCCUACUACACUCUAGAUUAGCAGUUUUGAAAGCAAUUCCAAGGUUAAGCCUUGGGCUUUCACUUCCAACUUACUAAACCGCCUACGCACUCUUUACGCCCAGUAAUUCCGAACAACGCUAACCCCCUCCGUCUUACCGCGGCUGCUGGCAC
This 292-nucleotide ribosomal RNA is filed under the name uncultured bacterium. Its description in RNAcentral is "partial 16S ribosomal RNA". The record is from RNAcentral.